Molecule: ribosomal RNA, 853 nt
Filed under: Parahelicomyces aquaticus
Lineage: Eukaryota; Fungi; Ascomycota; Dothideomycetes; Tubeufiales; Tubeufiaceae
Description: LSU rRNA
Rfam family: Eukaryotic large subunit ribosomal RNA
Source: RNAcentral
UUGCCUCAGUAACGGCGAGUGAAGCGGCAAUAGCUCAAAUUUGAAAUCUGGCUCUUUCAGAGUCCGAAUUGUAAUUUGUAGAGGAUGCUUCGGCUUACGUUUCGGUCUAAGUUCCUUGGAACAGGACGUCACAGAGGGUGAGAAUCCCGUUUGUGGCCGAGACUUCCGCCAUGUGAAGCUCCUUCGACGAGUCGAGUUGUUUGGGAAUGCAGCUCUAAAUGGGAGGUAUAUUUCUUCUAAAGCUAAAUACCGGCCAGAGACCGAUAGCGCACAAGUAGAGUGAUCGAAAGAUGAAAAGCACUUUGGAAAGAGAGUUAAAAAGUACGUGAAAUUGUUGAAAGGGAAGCGCUUGCGACCAGACUUGCCCGCGGAUGCUCAACCGGUCCUUCGGCCGGUGCACUCUUCCGCGGUCAGGCCAGCAUCAGUUCGAGCGGUCGGAUAAAGGCCUUGGGAAUGUGGCUCUCUUCGGGGAGUGUUAUAGCCCUUGGUGUAAUACGGCCCGCCUGGACUGAGGCCCGCGCUUCGGCUAGGAUGCUGGCGUAAUGGUCGUAAGCGGCCCGUCUUGAAACACGGACCAAGGAGUCUAACAUCUAUGCGAGUGUUUGGGUGUCAAACCCGUGCGCGAAAUGAAAGUGAACGGAGGUGGGAACCUUAGGGUGCACCAUCGACCGAUCCUGAUGUCUUCGGAUGGAUUUGAGUAAGAGCAUAGCUGUUGGGACCCGAAAGAUGGUGAACUAUGCCUGAAUAGGGUGAAGCCAGAGGAAACUCUGGUGGAGGCUCGCAGCGGUUCUGACGUGCAAAUCGAUCGUCAAAUUUGGGUAUAGGGGCGAAAGACUAAUCGAACCAUCUAGUA